RNAcentral lists this long non-coding RNA (566 nucleotides) under Ficedula albicollis (Collared flycatcher). RNAcentral's name for it is "lncRNA (ENSFALG00000026733.1)". The record is from RNAcentral. Lineage: Eukaryota; Metazoa; Chordata; Aves; Passeriformes; Muscicapidae.
AUUCAACCUUCAGAGUUCUUCUCCUUUACUGAAUUGAAACAGUUGUUACCAAAGUCUAAUUUAUGUGUCAGACUCUGAACUCAGUCCUUAACCUCCUUUUGAUUAGCUAAAUAGUUGUAGUUAAUGGGCUUUCUCAUAGAUGAUGUUUAUUUUCCAGGUAACUGAUUAGCAGUGCUCCAGCUACACUUCCUGAAAUGAAGUGUUACAGUGCAACUCAUGCCAAGACUGUGGCAUGGUUAUGGAAAAGGUUUAUGCAGCCAGAAUAUUGGUGAAACUCCUUUUGGACUCAACAGGCUACCUAGUGGCUUAACCUACUACUGAAGGUCAGGAGAAUACCAUUCAUCUUCCAAAAUGCCUGGACAUCACCAGCUGCACUUCUGGAGAUAUCCUGGAAAAUGAAACUGUGAGAACAUUCCAAGCAGUUCGGUGGGAUUAUUGUCUUUGACAAGAUUCUCUUGACAAUACACAAACCUUUGUGCACGUAUCACUGUAAUGCCCAAUAAAAAUCAAAAGUCCCCCUUGGGACUGUUUGCUUGCUGUCCAAAGUAUUUCAGAUGGGCUGGCAA